GGAUUUGAUUAUAAACUAAAAUCAAGUUGACGAAUUGAUUCAAUGUAUCAUAGCUACCAAUGGGAAAAAGAGACACCAAUGCAAAUUCUCCUGCUCUUGUAGAUUUAUAAGCUCCAACAUCAAACAAAUUAGAUCAAAAAAAUUAGUAGCGAUAGUUUGGGGGUGGAUGUUAAGUUAUUAAUCAUCCCAUUAUCACUAACAAGGCACUACUAUGGUUCUUUGAAAGUCCGAAAUUACAUUGCAAAAAUGAU
Molecule: long non-coding RNA, 251 nt
Filed under: Manihot esculenta (cassava)
Lineage: Eukaryota; Viridiplantae; Streptophyta; Magnoliopsida; Malpighiales; Euphorbiaceae
Description: long non-coding RNA (MESC_LNC000349)
Source: RNAcentral